Molecule: non-coding RNA, 2272 nt
Organism: Misgurnus anguillicaudatus (oriental weatherfish)
Lineage: Eukaryota; Metazoa; Chordata; Actinopteri; Cypriniformes; Cobitidae
Source: RefSeq, a predicted model, not a curated record
GUUAUAAAUUAGUAGAGUAAUAUAAACGUCUAAUAACGCUUAUAUGUAUCACUACUGUCCGUUUUCAGCACUGGAUAUAUUUAUUUUGAUAUAUUUAUAUAAUCUAAUAUUUUAUAUUGUGAUGUAUAUUUUUAAAAACAAAUUGGCGCGCAAGACGAACCGCGCAUGCGCAUGAAGAAACGUUCCAGAUACAUUCCACGCGGUGAGAUCCAAACCGCGUUAGUAACAUCUUUGAAGGUUUCAUGAAAUUCAGUCUGGCUCGAUCUGCUUGGUAGCAAUGGUCCAGGUGAUGCUGUAAGGAAGGUUUUGCAAGUUGCCACAUACAAUGGAUCGAAAGGGAAAGAAAUACCUUUGGCACUGUGAUUAUUCUGUAGACCGUCUCAAUCUGAUGUUCCAGCUGUGAUGCCUUCAUUGCAGAAACCUUAAAGUAUGUUCCACAUCGAGGAACAAGGGAAAUCUGAGACGGACAGGUCCAAUUCCAAUUUGGAGGGAUGCUCAUCCCACCAUUCAUCCGCCUGAUGCCCAUCCUCAUGCUGCUAAAUUGAUGACUGCUCACAUAUACUCACCGGCCACCUUAUUAGGUACAGCUUACUAGUACCGGGUUGGACCCCCUUUUGCCUUCAGAACUGCCUUAAUCCUUCGUGGCAUAGAUUCAACGAGGUACUGGAAAAAUUCCUCAGAGGUUUUGGUCCAUAUUCACAUGAUACCAUCAUGCAGUUGCUGUAGAUACGUUGGCUACACAUCCAUGAAGCGAAUCUCCAGUUCCACCACAUCCCAAAGGUGCUCUAUUGGGUUGAGAUCUGGUGACUGUGGAGGCCAUUUAAGUACAGUGAACUCACUGUCAUGUUCAAGAAACCAGUCUGAGAUUAUUUAUUCUGCCGGAAGUAGACAUCCGAAGAUGGGUACACUGUGGUCAUAAAGGGAUGUACAUGGUCAGAAUCAAUGCUCAGGUAGGCUGUGGCAUUGACACGAUGCUCAAUUGGUACUAAUGGGCCCAAAGCGUGCCAAGAGAAUAUCCCCCACACCAUUACACCAGCACCAGCAGCUUGAACAUUGAUACAAGGCAGGAUGGAUCCACAUUCUCAUGUUGUUGACGCCAAAUUCUGACCCUACCAUCAGAAUGUCGCGGCAGAAAUCGAGACUCAUCAGACCAGGAAACGUUUUUCCAAUCUUCUUUUGUCCAAUUUUGGUGAGCUUGUGCUAAUUGUAGCCUCGUUUUCCUAUUCUUUGCUGUCAGGAGUGACACCCGGUGUGGUCUUCUGCUGCUGUAGCCCAUCCACCUCAAGGUUCGGCGUGUUGUGGGUUUAUAGAUGCUCCUCUGCAUACCUCACAUUUUUAUUUUGCUUUUACCUCCAUUGUACCGAACUGUGACGCCUGAAUAUAUAUAUAUUCAUAUAUAUAUACUAUUCAUAUAUUUAGCAUAGUAUAUACUAAAUUCUAUACUACAUUACCGUAACAUAUAUGUUGUAGCCGAAAUUAAUAACAGGGUCUCUUUCCUCGGUUACAAACUGCACCACACUACAGCUAUAACAUGUAAGAUGGGAACUGGACCUCCUGGCUAAGCCUGGUUUUCUCACUGGGUUUUUAUUUCUGUCUCCCUGAAGAAGUUUCCCCCUUGACCAAUGUUUCUGUGUGGCUUGCUUACUAGGAAACUGCUGAUAUUAACCUUAUAACGUCUUUAGAAAAUUAUGUUAAUACUGGUAUAUAGUUUGGAGUUGGAGUAUAUUACAUACACUGUUCUCUCACUGUUCUAUUACUGUAUGUUCAUAAUUUAGCUUGGAAUGGAGUAAUUCUUAUUAUAUUAUUUAUAUAAGAAAUAACUCCAUGUAACCUCAAAUACUCCAUCCUUAACUGUAUUUAAAACUUUGAGGUUCUUUGCUUUUCUGUGUCGUCUUAUAUUCUAUUACAUGUACAGAUGAUUUGGUAAGAUGAACUAUUGUGAAAAGCACUGUAUAAAUAUAAUUGAAUUGAAUUAAAUUGAUGUUUGUUAAACAUUUUUAAAAGGAUAUUGUACUAAGACAUAAAGUUGGUGAAAUGCUCAAAAAUGUUUUGUAACCCGUAAAUAAUGGAAAGUAAGAAAGCUGGAUAUUGUAUUGUUUUGGAUUAUAAAAAUUAAUGUUUAAAGAAUAUUAUAUUUGUGAAAAUAAAGUUUUGAAAAUAUUGUAAGAAACUUUUUAUAACCUUUGAACACAAAUGUUUAAAAUGAUAACUAUAUUGUUGAUAUAAUUUAAAAAUAACCAUUAAAAGAAUGUUAUAUAGUAUGUGAAAGUUA